This 260-nucleotide ribosomal RNA is filed under the name uncultured archaeon. RNAcentral's name for it is "partial 16S ribosomal RNA". It matches the Rfam family "Archaeal small subunit ribosomal RNA", at positions 748 to 1008 of the family's 1478-position model. The record is from RNAcentral.
AGGGUGUAAACGCUGCAGACUUGGUGUUGGAAGUCCUUUGGGGGCAUUCGGUGCCGGAGAGAAGUUGUUAAGUCUGCUACUUGGGAGUACGUCCGCAAGGAUGAAACUUAAAGGAAUUGGCGGGGGAGCACCGCAACGGGAGGAGCGUGCGGUUUAAUUGGAUUCAACACCGUAAAACUCACCAGGGAAGACUGUUACAUGAAAGCCGAGAUGAAGACUCUGCUAGAUUUUCAGAGAGGUGGUGCAUGGCGUCAGUGACU